This 480-nucleotide ribosomal RNA is filed under the name uncultured organism. Its description in RNAcentral is "bacterial SSU rRNA". It matches the Rfam family "Bacterial small subunit ribosomal RNA", at positions 28 to 507 of the family's 1533-position model. The record is from RNAcentral.
GAUGAACGCUAGCGGCAGGCUUAACACAUGCAAGUCGAGGGGUAGAGGAAGCUUGCUUCCUUGAGACCGGCGCACGGGUGCGUAACGCGUAUGCAAUCUACCUUCAACAGGGGGAUAGCCCAGAGAAAUUUGGAUUAAUACCCCAUAGUAUUUUAGUGUGGCAUCACAUUAUUAUUAAAGUUCCAACGGUUGAAGAUGAGCAUGCGUCCCAUUAGUUAGUUGGUAAGGUAACGGCUUACCAAGACGAUGAUGGGUAGGGGUCCUGAGAGGGAGAUCCCCCACACUGGUACUGAGACACGGACCAGACUCCUACGGGAGGCAGCAGUGAGGAAUAUUGGUCAAUGGGCGCAAGCCUGAACCAGCCAUGCCGCGUGCAGGAUGAAGCAUCUAUGGUGUGUAAACUGCUUUUAUACGGGAAGAAACCCUGGCUCGUGAGCCAGAUUGACGGUACCGUAAGAAUAAGGAUCGGCUAACUCCGUG